This 1310-nucleotide long non-coding RNA is filed under the name Anas platyrhynchos platyrhynchos (common mallard). RNAcentral describes it as "lncRNA (ENSAPLG00000031240.1)". Lineage: Eukaryota; Metazoa; Chordata; Aves; Anseriformes; Anatidae. The record is from RNAcentral.
CAAUUCCCCUUCUGGUCAACAAGAAAAAAUCACAGCCUCAGACCCAUCAUCCCAAGACGUCUGUGUUCCUCCUCCCCCAUCUCCACGCUCCUUCUGCAGGGUGCUAACGAGGGCUCAUUUACACCACGGGAUGUUCUGCGCUGCGUCGGAGAGGUCCAAGGGGAGACCUGCGGGAUUGUACACAUGGGAUCGGUGCUGGAGCAGAAACCUUUGGGUACGGGUAGGUGGAUGUGAUGGAUGGAGCUCAGGAGCAGUCUGGCCCUGGGUGCUGGAGGAAAGGCUGUGUGCGUAAUCCCCUGGAAAUCAAUGGGAGUUAAGCAUUUGCUUAAAUGCUUCGCUGAGCUGGACCCUAAGCAGACAAGCCAGACAAAGAGGGGAUGAAGCGGAGAUUUUCUCCUGGGAGUGGCAGCAAGGAGAAUCCAUCUCUUUGAAUCAUUACCUUGCUGCUUCUGUCAUGCUAGAGGGGAUCCUUCUUCCCUCGAGUACACCGCUACCAGCCUGGGGUAUGUCCCUAGCCAGCCAGCCGCAGCUGGGAGGAUGAAACCUUGGAGGCUCAGAACUCUUGCAGGGUGCCUGCUGCGGCUGGAAACAUGUGCAUCCCCACACACACGUCCAGAUGUCAUUUAAAGGAGAGCAUUGAGCUACAAUGGAUGGGAAUACAAGCAGGAAAUCCUCUUUUGCUGCACAAACCUGGCCCUUUUCCAGAUACCAUGUCAUCACUUUUCGCAUGCUGUUUUCUUAAAUUACUUACUGAGAAAGCCUAAGUCAAUCUACAUAUUAAACAUACCGGAGAUUGGAGUCCAAGUCAAUGUGGCUCACGACAGACCUAGGGAACCAAGUCUCUCUCCCCGAGAGCCUGCACUCCCCCUUCUCCUUCUCCGUUAGCUUAAGGCGAUAAAACUUUGAAGAUGUAAUCUAGGCAUUAUCUGCCUUUUUGGAUAAUGUUCAACAGUAAUUUUAGUGUCGUCUUUAUCUCCAAAAUGGUUGCUUUAAAUUCAGCUGCUUCCUUCCCAGAGGCUGGUUUGACUUUUAGGCAGCAAAAUAUCUUUCUGUGUGUCCUCCCUUUUGGUGGGUCAGAUUUUUUGGGUUCUGGUUUAUUCUCCUAUUUGUUUUCCCCUCUGCCAUACCUCCUCUUUAGCUCUGUUUGGCUUUUCUUAUACCAGGAUUUAUUCUUCCCACGAAAGGAUUCAUCCAUGCAGAAGAGCUCAGAGCAUAUUCCAGAGAUGCCCGUGCUGUUGGAAAGGAUCAAGGCAAGAAGACAUCCUAUCUCAGGGACUGACCCAAAUUUUCUACAACCCCUUUCAGGAUAG